This 468-nucleotide ribosomal RNA is filed under the name uncultured bacterium. RNAcentral's name for it is "partial 16S ribosomal RNA". It matches the Rfam family "Bacterial small subunit ribosomal RNA", at positions 28 to 507 of the family's 1533-position model. The record is from RNAcentral.
GACGAACGCUGGCGGCGUGCUUAACACAUGCAAGUCGAACGGAAAGGCCCUGCUUUUGUGGGGUGCUCGAGUGGCGAACGGGUGAGUAACACGUGAGUAACCUGCCCUUGACUUUGGGAUAACUUCAGGAAACUGGGGCUAAUACCGGAUAGGAGCUCCUGCUGCAUGGUGGGGGUUGGAAAGUUUCGGCGGUUGGGGAUGGACUCGCGGCUUAUCAGCUUGUUGGUGGGGUAGUGGCUUACCAAGGCAUUGACGGGUAGCCGGACUGAGAGGGUGACCGGCCACAUUGGGACUGAGAUACGGCCAAGACUCCUACGGGAGGCAGGAGUGGGGAAUAGUGCACAAUGGGCGGAAGCCGGAUGCAGCAACGCCGGGUGCGGGAUGACGGCCUUCGGGUUGUAAACCGCUUUCGCCUGUGACGAAGCGUGAGUGACGGUAAUGGGUAAAGAAGCACCGGCUAACUACGUG